CUCUCUCUCAGGAGAUGCAGGCUACAGCUAAAUCCUGGACCAGUGACUCCUGGAACGCUGCAGAACUUCGGUGUGUCUGGAACUCCUUCGGUGCCGAUGGUUGCUGAUCCCUCCAGUCCUUCAGCAGCUGGUUCUGUUGUUCAUCCAGAUAUUUGAGCCUCUGAGUCUCGUUCUCAAUCAGCAGCAGAUCCUGGAACUUGUGGAGGUCGCGUUCCUGCUCUACUUUGAUGCGUUUGGUCUCGUCCUUGAGUCUAACAUGGUGGUCUCCCUCCAUCUUCUCAAUGGUCUGCUUCUGGUUCUUCUCCAGGCUCUCCAGCUCCACAUCGUAGUGCUUCUUCUUGGCCUGGGACGCACCGAGAGGAAACAAGCACACUUUUGGCGUAGAGACCGGCCUGAGCGCGUUGCUCUUCCUUCUGCAGCAAACGGAGCUCCCGCAACUCCUGACGUCUUAACACACACAAACACACACGCUGUUACUUUUAACGUAUAUACAGUACAACUUUAGUUUAUGAGUUUAACUACAUCUCAGACAAGCAAACACAGUUAAUACUAAUAUUUAAGUUAAGUGUUUGUGUGUGUGUAUAUGUGGGUGGAAGCAUGAGUGUGUAUUACAAACAUAUCUAUGUGGAUGUAUAUGGGUGUGUGUAUGUAUUGUAUGAACGUUAUGGUAUUUGUUUAGGGGAUUGAUAAGCUCUCUCGGCCAUGACAUGUCAAUCCCAUAUGUUAUAUGUUGUUUCACUGUAUGUUGUAUAUUUUAUUUUGUCUAAUAAAAAAAUAUUGAAGUUAAUACCAUCACUCUAUAUUAAUUAUUUUAAAAGAGGUAUGUGGGGAGAUAUCAAAAAUGUACCCCUUUCUCUCAGCUUCUGAA
This is a long non-coding RNA of Sebastes umbrosus (honeycomb rockfish), 868 nucleotides long. RefSeq lists it as uncharacterized. Lineage: Eukaryota; Metazoa; Chordata; Actinopteri; Perciformes; Sebastidae. The transcript has 4 exons. The record is from RefSeq and is a predicted model, not a curated record.